UACGUAGGGUGCGAGCGUUAAUCGGAAUUACUGGGCGUAAAGCGUGCGCAGGCGGCUUUGCAAGACAGAUGUGAAAUCCCCGGGCUCAACCUGGGAAUUGCAUUUGAAACUGGGAAACUAGAGUGUGUGAGAGGGGGGUAGAAUUCCGCGUGUAGCAGUGAAAUGCGUAGAUAUGCGGAGGAACACCGAUGGCGAAGGCAAUCCCCUGGGCCUGCACUGACGCUCAUGCACGAAAGCGUGGGGAGCAAACAGG
This 253-nucleotide ribosomal RNA is filed under the name uncultured bacterium. RNAcentral's name for it is "partial 16S ribosomal RNA". It matches the Rfam family "Bacterial small subunit ribosomal RNA", at positions 524 to 776 of the family's 1533-position model. The record is from RNAcentral.